Molecule: small nuclear RNA, 155 nt
Filed under: Vulpes vulpes (red fox)
Lineage: Eukaryota; Metazoa; Chordata; Mammalia; Carnivora; Canidae
Description: U2 spliceosomal RNA (ENSVVUG00000009347.1)
Rfam family: U2 spliceosomal RNA
About the family: U2 is a small nuclear RNA (snRNA) component of the spliceosome (involved in pre-mRNA splicing). Complementary binding between U2 snRNA (in an area lying towards the 5' end but 3' to hairpin I) and the branchpoint sequence (BPS) of the intron results the bulging out of an unpaired adenosine, on the BPS, which initiates a nucleophilic attack at the intronic 5' splice site, thus starting the first of two transesterification reactions that mediate splicing.
Source: RNAcentral
AUCGCUUGUCGGGUUUUUGGCUAAGAUCAAGCGUAAUAUCUGUUCUUAUCAGUUUACUCUCUGAAGACAACAUAUUAAAUGCAUUUUCGGAGCAGGGAGAUGGAAUAGGGGCUUCCCCAUCCACUGCUCCAGGUUUGCUUUGAAUCUUUCCUCUG